AAAAAUUAUGACUUAAAAACUGAGGAGCUGAGGGUGUAAGAGAACUGAAUCUUCAUCUUGAUGGUAGGAAAUCAGUGGAUGGUGUUAAAAAUUGAAAUAAUCAAGAAAGAGAAACGUGGAGUUAAAUACUAGAAGACAAAGUUAAGAGAAAAAAGUGAUGGCUUCCGGGGAAUGAAAACUAAAGUUGAGAUGGGCUAGGAAGGGCCAAUUUUUACACUAAGCAUUAUACUUUCUUGAGCUAGGUACACAUAUGACUUUGAUAAAAAUUAAAAUUAAAUGCCACUUAAAAAAAAAAAAACUCAGGUAGAAAGGGCGGGGGCGGCCCGGGAGGUCUCCUGCGGCGCACAGCCACAGCGGGCACAGAGAGGGAGCUGCACUGACCAGUUCUCAGGGCCACGGAGCGUUAACAGAGCUCGGGGCUGAUCUUGGCCAGAAUAUGAGGCCUGAAGGAGGCGGGGUGAGGCUCCUGGGCUCCGUCAUCCAGGGCGAGUGUCUUUAGGCGGCCUUGGUUUUAAACAGGAAACGUCGCACAAGGCUUGGGUGUGCACAGUGUGAAGUGAAUCCCCGCUCCCAGCCCCGCCCGGCCAGCCUCGCGUCCCCUCCUGGGUGCACAUGCACCCUGCAGUGGUGCACGCUCCCCCACCUGGACCCAGGGUGUUCCCACCUGGCAGCACAUCUUGCAGAAUUCUGGGUACAGACGACGCUGAAAUUCAAUAUUUACUGAACACCGUGUGGCAGCCCAGACCGACGCCCGUGGAAUCCGGCUGUUGACGGCGCUCUGCCAGCUUCACACGGAGCCGGCUGUUGGUGGAGAAGCUGGUGAAGGCGCAGGAACCAGAGAUCAUCUGUACACACAAAACUAUUCCAAAAUAAGAGGUUUUGAAGUCCA
Equus caballus (horse) is the source of this 889-nucleotide non-coding RNA. The record is from RefSeq and is a predicted model, not a curated record. Lineage: Eukaryota; Metazoa; Chordata; Mammalia; Perissodactyla; Equidae.